UACGUAGGGGGCUAGCGUUGUCCGGAAUCAUUGGGCGUAAAGCGCGUGUAGGCGGCCCGGUAAGUCCGCUGUGAAAGUCGGGGGCUCAACCCUCGGAUGCCGGUGGAUACUGUCGGGCUAGAGUACGGAAGAGGCGAGUGGAAUUCCUGGUGUAGCGGUGAAAUGCGCAGAUAUCGGGAGGAACACCAGUGGCGAAGGCGGAACUCUGGGCCGGAACUGACGCUGAGGAGCGAAAGCGUGGGGAGCGAACAGG
Molecule: ribosomal RNA, 253 nt
Filed under: uncultured bacterium
Lineage: Bacteria
Description: partial 16S ribosomal RNA
Rfam family: Bacterial small subunit ribosomal RNA
Source: RNAcentral